RNAcentral lists this long non-coding RNA (1471 nucleotides) under Phasianus colchicus (ring-necked pheasant). RNAcentral's name for it is "lncRNA (ENSPCLG00000007236.1)". Lineage: Eukaryota; Metazoa; Chordata; Aves; Galliformes; Phasianidae. The record is from RNAcentral.
AUGGUGCUCUGUAGGACAAGUAUCACUUUGAAACUCUAUGGGAUGUUUCAUGAGACCAAAGUCCUAGUGUGGGUGAUCUCAGAGGACCUCAGCAUGACUGCACAGAGCAGCAAGGAGACCUUUUGGAUGGGGAGCAGAUUGCCUUCAAAGCACCAAAGAUGUCCUUCAAGAGAAGAAAUGAGCUCAGAUGUUCUGCCAGCACAAUGCCAAGGCACUUAUGGGAAUGGUUUCAGAAAAGAUCAGCCCAGUUCUUCCUCAACCUUUGCUGAGGAACUCUUAGCAAGCACUGCUGGGUCCCCCACAAAGCACUUUCUCCAGGUUUUAUGCAAUCCCGGAGCUCAGAAAAGUGACUCUUCAGGGGAAAUGUGGAUCAGUAAUUCAGGUUACUGGCUUUGCGCUCCCCUUUUGAUUUCUGCUGGAACUCAUCUGGAGAAAUAUUGCCUCACUCAGAAGAAAGAAAUUGAUGGAUAAAAGAGGAGAGGGAGUUUCUCAAGAAAGCCAGCAGCUCCGUGAUCUCAUGCAUCCCCAGAUGACAAUAGCGCUCCCAAACCAGUGGUUCUCCGUGGCUGUGCGCACAGAGGCAUGAAGCACAACCAGCUUUCCCCAGGGCUAUUCUCCUGGGCUUGCUGGCCAUUCCCUGGAAAGAGAGACCACAGGGCAGGAUGGCAAUGGAUGAAUCAGUCCUACCCUCAAGGCUGCAGAGAAACCUUUUUCUCCGGUCCACUCCCAUUUCUGUCUUACUGACUCUCCCCAAAGUCCAAAGUGUGGUCUGAGCAUUUCCCUUUUUAGAUGGAUUGCAUUUUUAUUAAUUUUACAGUAAAUCACUUCUCUAUUUCCUUUGUUUAUGCUAGGUGGAAUCGGUGAUUUCCAUGUCUGUGAUGCAUUACUUGGCACAUGAGCACAACACAUACCAUCACUUCAUCAUACCCAUUAUUGACACCCCAGCUCUAGGACAAAAAGAUGAAAAAUCCAUCUCUAUGCUGUCACUUCCCUUUUCCCUCCUGCUCUAGUUCAAAGGUACCUCUGGAAACCUCAGCCUUGAGUUCCUCCAUCCCAGCCUUCUUUAAGCAGGACGAUCCAAAAUGCCUAAGCAGCACAGCUCAGACUUGGCCCCAUAGGACCUGCUGCUCCAUGUCACAUCAUCUUCUAAAAUCAUGUAGCUAGCACUUUAUCAGGGGGAGAACAGCAGCCUGGAAAGGAGGAGGAAAGCUUCUGUGUUCAGCCCAGGGAAAUACAGCCUCCUCUCCCUGCUUUCCCCUAUGAAAGCUCCCACCUGAACACUGGGCCCCUUCCGAAAGCAAACAGCUGACCUGCAUCUUUUGAAUAUCUUGGCUUUUAUGGCUUGGAUCCCAACCUUAGCCAUGUUUCAGUGCCAUUUUCUCUUUGCUGAACAGCAGGCCUGGAAAGCUUCACCUUGCUGCAGUCAACGUGCAUCCUGCCAUGCCCAUGCAAGGCGUUUUUCUUCAAAGGA